GAUGAAGAACGUAGUGAAAUGCGAUAAGUAAUGUGAAUUGCAGAAUUCAGUGAAUCAUCGAAUCUUUGAACGCACAUUGCGCCCGGCAGUACUCUGCCGGGCAUGCCUGUUCGAGCGUCAUUUCAACCCUCAAGCCCUGCUUGGUGUUGGGGUCCCACGGCCGCCGUGGGCCCUGAAAGGAAGUGGCGGGCUCGCUACAACUCCGAGCGUUGUAAUUCAUUAUCUCGCUUAGGGCGUUGGGCGGCGCUCCUGCCGUUAAAGAACCAUCUUUAACUCAAGGUUGACCUCGGAUCAGGUAGGAAUACCCGCUGAACUUAAGCAUAUCAAUAAGCGGAGGA
This 338-nucleotide unclassified non-coding RNA is filed under the name soil metagenome. Its description in RNAcentral is "partial contains 5.8S ribosomal RNA, internal transcribed spacer 2, and large subunit ribosomal RNA". The stretch from base 1 to 120 matches the Rfam family "5.8S ribosomal RNA", at positions 35 to 154 of the family's 154-position model. The record is from RNAcentral.